Molecule: ribosomal RNA, 480 nt
Filed under: uncultured Desulfobulbus sp.
Lineage: Bacteria; Pseudomonadati; Thermodesulfobacteriota; Desulfobulbia; Desulfobulbales; Desulfobulbaceae
Description: bacterial SSU rRNA
Rfam family: Bacterial small subunit ribosomal RNA
Source: RNAcentral
GAAUUGACGGGGCCCGCACAAGCGGUGGAGUAUGUGGUUUAAUUCGAUGCAACGCGAAGAACCUUACCUGGUCUUGACAUCCCGGAGACCCUUAGGAAACUAGGGGGUGCUUCCAUCUGGAAGAAUCUGGAGACAGGUGCUGCAUGGCUGUCGUCAGCUCGUGUCGUGAGAUGUUGGGUUAAGUCCCGCAACGAGCGCAACCCUUGCCUUUAGUUGCCAGCAGUUCGGCUGGGCACUCUAAAGGGACUGCCGGUGUUAAACCGGAGGAAGGUGGGGAUGACGUCAAGUCCUCAUGGCCUUUAUGACCAGGGCUACACACGUACUACAAUGGCCGAUACAAAGGGCAGCGACACUGCGAGGUGAAGCCAAUCCCGUAAAAUCGGUCUCAGUCCGGAUUGGAGUCUGCAACUCGACUCCAUGAAGUUGGAAUCGCUAGUAAUCGUGAAUCAGAAUGUCACGGUGAAUACGUUCCCGGGCCUU